Molecule: unclassified non-coding RNA, 358 nt
Filed under: soil metagenome
Description: partial contains 5.8S ribosomal RNA, internal transcribed spacer 2, and large subunit ribosomal RNA
Rfam family: 5.8S ribosomal RNA (bases 1-120)
Source: RNAcentral
GAUGAAGAACGUAGCGAAAUGCGAUAAGUAAUGUGAAUUGCAGAAUUCAUUGAAUCAUCGAAUCUUUGAACGCACAUUGCGCCCGUCAGUAUUCUGGCGGGCAUGCCUGUUCGAGCGUCAUUACGCCCCUCAAGUCCCCUGUGGACUUGGUGUUGGGGAUCGGCGAGGCUGGUUUUCCAGCACAGCCGUCCCUUAAAUUAAUUGGCGGUCUCGCCGUGGCCCUCCUCUGCGCAGUAGUAAAACACUCGCAACAGGAGCCCGGCGCGGUCCACUGCCGUAAAACCCCCCAACUUUUUAUAGUUGACCUCGAAUCAGGUAGGACUACCCGCUGAACUUAAGCAUAUCAAUAAGCGGAGGA